This 71-nucleotide transfer RNA is filed under the name Ovis aries (sheep). It matches the Rfam family "tRNA". From Rfam's summary of the family: Transfer RNA (tRNA) molecules are approximately 80 nucleotides in length. Their secondary structure includes four short double-helical elements and three loops (D, anti-codon, and T loops). The record is from Rfam by way of RNAcentral. Lineage: Eukaryota; Metazoa; Chordata; Mammalia; Artiodactyla; Bovidae.
CCCUUGUUACUUAGCUGGUAAAGAAUCUGCCUGCAAUGCAGGAGACCUGGGUUCGAUUCCUGGGCUGGGAA